CAAGAUAAUGGACUAGAAGUCUCCACCGAUCACCGCCCCCCCUCCACAAGGAUACCAAUUCAAGAACUAUUUACAUGAAAAAAGAACCUCUUUAAGAGCUUGAAAUCUGGCGAGAACUCACAGGAUCUGGUUUUUACUUCGUUUCACUGAAUGAGGCACUGAAGAGGUAUGUCCCAAGGAGUUCAAUAGCAGGGUCGUAUGGUAUCUCUGUGUUUAAUCUUCUGUAGAACGGCCAAGUUGUUUACAAGGUGGCUGCACCUUUCUACAUUCCUUCCAAUAAUGGAGUCAAAUGGAAAUCAAGACAAGAAUUCCAGUGUGAAUACCAGGGGAGCAGUAUGUUUGGAUUUCCAAAACAAGGGGCCAGAAGAAGAAUAUCAGGUGCAAAGCAGGAGAUAAGGAGUCCAGGAAAGUAGAAAAGUGGAAGCAGAGAGCAAGAUGGAAUGAAACAGAAGAUUCAGGUCUAAGAUCUGAAGCAACAAAUGAAUUGUGCCAGCUGCUGAUGCUUUGUGAAUGCUCCCCACAAGCAGUAGGGGCGCUGGGUCAUUCUGGAGGGGACUAGAGUGGGACAGAAAGCAGAGAAGACCGAGAAUAAAGGUUACGUGGGCAAGACUACAGGAGAAGCAGCGGGAGGAAGAACAGACGGGCUGGACUGAAAACGGAAUUGGGUAAACCACAUUGGACACUACCCUAAGGCAAUGUUUCAGGUGUGUGGUCAAAAACAUACAAAAGUACACUAAUAUUUUUUAUACUUUGUCAACGUGUUACACUUAGGAAGUGUAACAUUAAAAAAAAAACCUUUUACUAAUUUAAUUUUAGAGAAAGAAACUUAUAGGAGGAGGAAAAUGUCUAGCUUCAGUUGGAAACAGCAAGGAACUUAAAAACAUUAAAAAUAAAAUCAAAUAAAGAAUAUCACAAGUCAAUAAAUGGCUUACAGCAACAACAGAGAAAGAGGAGUAUGAGGAGUAUGGUUCUGAGGG
This is a long non-coding RNA of Cercocebus atys (sooty mangabey), 977 nucleotides long. RefSeq lists it as uncharacterized. The record is from RefSeq and is a predicted model, not a curated record. The transcript is spliced from 3 exons. NCBI's taxonomy places the organism in Eukaryota, Metazoa, Chordata, Mammalia, Primates, Cercopithecidae.